This 397-nucleotide ribosomal RNA is filed under the name uncultured bacterium. RNAcentral describes it as "bacterial SSU rRNA". It matches the Rfam family "Bacterial small subunit ribosomal RNA", at positions 362 to 775 of the family's 1533-position model. The record is from RNAcentral.
UAUUGCACAAUGGGGGGAACCCUGAUGCAGCGACGCCGCGUGAGGGAAGAAGGUUUUUGGAUUGUAAACCUCUGUCCUUGGUAAAGAAGCAAGACGGUAGCCAAGGAGGAAGCCACGGCUAACUACGUGCCAGCAGCCGCGGUAAUACGUAGGUGGCAAGCGUUGUCCGGAAUUACUGGGUGUAAAGGGAGCGUAGGCGGUUAUGCAAGUUGAAUGUGAAAUCUAUCGGCUCAACUGAUAGGCUGCGUUCAAAACUGUAUAUCUUGAGUGAAGUAGAGGCAGGCGGAAUUCCUAGUGUAGCGGUGAAAUGCGUAGAUAUCAGGAGGAAUACCGUUAGCGAAGGCGGCAAUCUGGCUGGAAACUGACGCUGAGGUGCGAAAGCGUGGGUAGCAAACAG